GGGCGGCGUACUUCCAGCGCCGCCAACAGCAGCGCCUGGCCUCCACCAACGACACGCCGGUGGUUGGCGGCGUGAAGAACAGCGUGGGGCGCCACCUGUGGUGGGGCGUCCCGGGCCACAUGCUGGAGGGCGUGCUGACGCACCUCGACGGUGGCAACAACCCGCCGUUGACCUAUCCUGCGACGGGGGCCGCCCCGUCGCAACACCGACGCGCAUGGGCGCCAAGGAGGUUUGCCUCCUCCUCGUCUUCCUCCUCUCGCUCAUCUUCCCACUCCUCCAGUUCUCCGGCGCUUCUCGGCGUCAAGGCCGAGCCCGCGACGGAGACGCCAAUCGGUCGGCGCACUCGCAGCGUCGGCAUCGUCAUCAACGAGGGCGGUCGGCGCGCCUCCUCCUCGUCGGCUCCUCCGCGCUUCGUCAAGCCGAAGAUGGAGCCGGGGCUGGCGCCGGUGAAGACGGAGUCGGGGCUGGCGCCGGUGGAGGCGGAGUUCGACGACGACGACGCGGUCCUAGAAUGGGCGCGCCAGGACUCCAUUGUGAUGGAGAAGGCGCGCCGGGAGAAGGAGAAGGAACGCCAGCGCGCCGCCCUGCGCCGCUUCGAGGAGCGCCGACGCGGCCGCUUUUUGAAGACGGGGUCGUCGUCUUAUGCGACAGCGAUGACGACGACGACGCGCCGCCGCCAGUCCGCCAUGGUGACGCCGGGCAGGGGUCCAGCAGGGGCGCCCGCGUCAAGGAGGAGAAGGCCGACGACGACGAUGGCGGCGACGGCGGCGACGACUUCAGCCCUUUUCUUUUUUAGAUUAGGUUAAUGUAAUGAAAAUGCGCGAAUUUCACCGAAAUUUGCCAUGUUUGGCCGAAAUUUAACUAGUUUUUAUCAUAACUUCGCCGAACGGUCCUUUUUUUUAAAUACGCGCCUGGGGCGGCCCUGGGGCCGACUCGCCCCAGGGCCAUUUUUUGCGCCGGCUCACCCCCAGGCGGCGCUUUUAGACGCCCCCUGGGGGGCCAACGGCUGAAGAUGCCCUCAGACGUCUGAUUUGCCAUGCUAAAAAAAUUUAACGUCGAUUUAUAGCAAAAUCCGCAACUACGGGCGUACACUUGUAGUUUUUUUUUUUUUUUGCGGGAAGUACACUUGCAGUUUAUGACAACGGCCAGCUUGCUAAUUUAAGUAUAUUGGCCGAUCUCUCGGGAUUGAUACUAUAAUCCUCAGACAAUGAUGAAUAAAUAUACUGGCAUCUAUCCUGGAGAAGUCGAAUAUGUUUAUUGGCAUACAUGCCGUCGAAGCCCGCAAAAAAAAGAAGACGGCCUUGAGGAUAAGUAGGCGAAAUCAUGGAGAUCGGUCUGUCUCUGUUGUUGAUCUCCAGCAGUCGAGCUGCCUUGUGCGCAUUAUUGUUGUGCUAGCCCCGCGUUAACUAGCUAGCUAGGAGGUUUUUUGUUAGCACAUGGGUCUCAUGCUCGAGUAGUAUAUGUAAGCUUACUCAUGGCACGCACGCACGUCCAUCGAUCGAUGCUGUUGAUCUAUUUCCGGCUCUGAUUACUUAACUAGUUUCAUAAAAAAAACUUAAUUAGUUGAUUUUUAAUUUGUUUAGCGGUGGAAGUUAGCUAAGAAUUCAAGAUUGCUGAUUCUCAUAGCAAAUGUAAUAAUAAGUAUUUCAAAGUUCGGUUGUGAAGAUCUGUCAUACUCAUAGUAGUUGUUAUUAUUUUAUUUAUUUUUUGAAAAGGACGAAGACCCUAGCCUUGGUUGGAUCAUGUAUAUGCAGCCACUUUAUUAAUCAUUCACACAAGACCUUGCGAAGUUAUACAAUAGUAAAACUAAAAACCACCGUCUAGACAACAUCUGUCGCUACUUCUAUUCAAUUGAUGAAGGGAUGCUGAUAGUUUGGGAUUAAUACCAAACAGACCUCACAGCCAAACCUAACAUCUAAGACCUGAGGUCCCAACCAGGACGUCCGCCGGGUAUGAGGCCACCGCAGCCACCUGCGACCAAUGCAUCUUCAGUGUUGUACUGCUGCAUCUACCUUGCCCGGUCUAUCUGCCGUCGACGCCACCACGACGCCAGACAACCCCGCUAUCCUGUGCUCGUCCAUCAUCACACGCCCACUGGCGAGACCCCGCUGCUCCAUGCCGCUGAGAACCGCCAUUAUCGACGUGCCAGAUGCCACGUUGCUCCUCCAUCUCGAACACCACCUGUUAACACUGGUCCCAUCCCCUCCGCCUGUAGUUCGUCUAACCGAGCACCCAAACGCCCCAGGCGGCGCCUGCAAGAAGGGUACGACACGUGUAGUGCCGCUGUCGCCCAAUCUAAGAAGAUUUUGGGUUUUCACCCGGGCAUGGGGUCGGGGUGGAGGGCAGGGACCUCGAAGACGACUGCAAGGAGGAGAACUGCGCCCCUGGUCAUCGCCACCGUCGGGAUGAACAAGUCAUCCAGAAUUUCCUCCGGUCCGAUGUCACCUCUACCAGCCCCCGCGAACGCACCGAGGCCGACGACCACGAUCGUAAGCCACCAAGUGCAGCAGGAGAGAGCCUGCGGCGCGGAGGAGAUCCACUGGCAUCUCACCGCCCNNNNNNNNNNNNNNNNNNNNNNNNNNNNNNNNNNNNNNNNNNNNNNNNNNNNNNNNNNNNNNNNNNNNNNNNNNNNNNNNNNNNNNNNNNNNNNNNNNNNNNNNNNNNNNNNNNNNNNNNNNNNNNNNNNNNNNNNNNNNNNNNNNNNNNNNNNNNNNNNNNNNNNNNNNNNNNNNNNNNNNNNNNNNNNNNNNNNNNNNNNNNNNNNNNNNNNNNNNNNNNNNNNNNNNNNNNNNNNNNNNNNNNNNNNNNNNNNNNNNNNNNNNNNNNNNNNNNNNNNNNNNNNNNNNNNNNNNNNNNNNNNNNNNNNNNNNNNNNNNNNNNNNNNNNNNNNNNNNNNNNNNNNNNNNNNNNNNNNNNNNNNNNNNNNNNNNNNNNNNNNNNNNNNNNNNNNNNNNNNNNNNNNNNNNNNNNNNNNNNNNNNNNNNNNNNNNNNNNNNNNNNNNNNNNNNNNNNNNNNNNNNNGCCGUCGCCAUGCCUAGCGGGUCCGCCGCCCCAGGUCCAGGUUCCUCCACGAUGGCCGGAGUGGCGAGAUCCGUCAUGAGCGACGAGAUCCGGCACCGCGCGGCCGACACCAUCUCGCCCAAGCCCGCCGUCGACCAAUCAUGCCGCCGAUCUAGGUGCCCGUGCACCACAGCCCGCCGCCUCCGGGAUCCGCCACACCGUCGAGAGGGCCGCACCCCGCGGAUCAGGACGCCCGCGCCGCCGCGGAUCCGGGAGACGGAGGAGAGACCCUCCGCCGCCGCCUUCGCACGCACGGGCUUUGCCCGGCGCCGACCAUCGGCAGCGGAGGAGGAGGAGAAGGGCGCUGGAGGGUUACUAGGCGGCGGCGGCGGCUGAGCCCUCCCAAGCCGCCCGCGGGGGAGGCGACGCGAGGGGGAGUAGCUGUUAUAAGUACGUAUUUAAAUGUUCAGAGUUUCGCACAACAUUUGUACUUGUGUAUUCAGUUCGAAAAGGAAGCUGUAAAGAUCUUUGAUUCUCAUAUAGGAGUUUUUCCUAUUUAAAUGUUGUGCGGAAUAACCGAUCUCUACUCCACGUACGACGCGGCGAGGGGCGAGGUCGACAUGGCCGGUCUGGUUCAAUCCCAUUGUCCCGUCUCCGUCGGCGAUGCCGGCCGGCGGGGUCCAAGUUCGAAGAUUCCCUGCUGCCCGUCUCAUUCGUUCAGUUCCACCACCGGCACUUAAUUUGGAGCUGUUCAGGAUUGAGGGAACCCGUGUGGGUGCAUUGUAGCGGUAGGUGACCACCACUCACAUGCACGCAACAACGAGACCGAUGUAUUCAUGCGUGCAUGCAAUCAUGCCCAAGCUUUAACUGUGUGCACGGCUGCACGCUCGGCAAUUCAUUGCAUGACAUGUUUAAGUACGUUGAUGAUGGCCUUUCGUUUCAGUUGAUUUUUUUUUAGGAAACGCAGGAGAGCUGCGAUUUCAUUAUAAUAAGACGGCGAAAGAGACGCCAGCUGUACAAAAGCGAGCGAACUCGCUGAAGAAGGAAAGAAAGAAAAAGAAGGAAAAAAAAAGGGGGGCGCCUAGGUCCUACUCUCGCGGCAUUAAGUGCUUCCCGCCUGCCUACGUCCAGGUUGUGAUCUCGUCGCCAACAGAGUCCAGCGCUCUCUCGACAGAUCAUUCUUGACCUCUGAAAAUCCUGCUAUUUCUCUUGCCCCAGAUCGUCCAAGCUAGGAGCAGGGAGAUGGACAUCGCCUUCUUGGCCUGUGUUGCGUUGGUCGUCAAGCCCAAGAGCCACUCGGUUGUGUCAGUCCUUAUGCUCCAGUUAUCAGGGUGGCGUGACUGUAGUUGAAGACGAUCAGCCCCCCUCGCCCACAGACAUCGAGCCCAUGGGCACUCCUUGAACAGAUGCACAUUGGUCUCCAGGCUACGCACACAGAGAGGGCAAAAGUAGCAGUUUGGCCAUUGCCUCGCCAUCAACCUGUCCGCGAUGAGAAGCCUAUUAAUGGUGAGAAGCCAGGCGAAAAGCUUGAUCUUUGCCGGCGCCCAUGCCUUCCACACUGCCUCCAUGAUGGGUGAUCACGUAGACCCCAAGAACUGCAAGUGGUAUGCCGAGCUUGUGGAGAACACACCCGAUUCCGUCAAUUUCCAAGUGAAGACAUCCCGGCCGGCCGACAGUUGGCUAGCUGCCGCCACCUUCGUCCAGAGGUUGACGAAUUGAGGUAGCAAUCCCGUGGUCACCCGCCCUUGCACAUCACGCACCCAGCUGUUGCCCGGAGCGCCGCAUGCACCAUCUUGUUUUUUCGGCGCGCCAUCUGGAAGAGCUCAGGUGCCACUAGGAAUUUUAUCCAACGGCUAUGGCUCUUGAUUUGAACGGCCGGUUUCCACCUACGGUUUCCUGCCGUUGGUCCGCACACGGCUCACGGCGCUGCUCUACCCGGGCCACCGCCUUCGCCGUGCCCCGGGCCAUUUGUCUAAGCCCAACCUUAUCCGCCCUGCACAACACACUCAAACCUUUAAGAACAUCUACAUCCGGACUUUGUAAAUCUGGUCCUUUGCUCUGACGCGUCUACGGACACUGUCCGUUCACGUCUCAAAUAAUGCAAUUCACAUCUGAACACCUCAGUUAUCAUAUCUUAAAUUCAUACAAACUCAUGCAACUACGUCGAUGCACACAUAUCGUCCGGCUACUCCAUCACACUACACUAAGCAUGCCUUCGGACUAGCAAAAUUUGACAUGUUUGACUGUGGUGGAGAUCAUCCACGGUUGCCCUUGCCCUUUCCGGCGCUCUUGUUGUCCUUCUCGCGGAAGUACCGGUCGAAGACGCAGUAGGGAUCAAGCUGGAUCUGCUUGUCCCGGAGCUAUCCUCGCCGUCGAUGUCCUUCUCCUCCUUCGGUGGCAGUCCGGCCAUGGCACGGACUGCCCGAUUCUGCUCCUGGGCGAGGGUGCGCGUGUUCCUCCACUGUCGUUUUUCACAAUGCGGACGCGGAUGACUUGAUCCUACGCGGUCGCCCGCGCAGCCUCCGCCGCCGCCAUUUCCGCCGCAAUAUGGGCCUCGGCGGCCCUUAUACUCUCCUUCCCACGGCGUGCUGCCCGUUCCCGAUGGGAAUCAUAGUCUGCCCGACCGGUGAUACGGAAUGAGAGAUUUUCCAGCUGGCGAGACUGUGGUUAUCCAGCCCUAAAGGACCUGAGCGCUUGUUGAGCCGACACAAUGGAGUCGUGCCGGACAAAUCCGUCCGUCGCCGGGCGCUGUCCUCCCGGGAGCGGCGGAGUGCAAUGCAGAUCACCAUUGCCUCCUCCAACCCACAUGAGAUGACACCCCAGUCGACGGAUCCGGACUGGUCGGAGUUAGAUCCGCUGCCCGUCAUGCCAAAGACGGCCGAAAAUCACCGGAGGUGAGCUCGGGUGGCGGAGGGAGUAGCGGGGAGAGGAGUGUAAAGUGGCUAGGGUUUGGUCCGGCGAACGGAUGUGACCAAAUAUAUGUGGGGUCGGGUGGGCUAGCGUUGGCCGGGUCCGACAUGGCGGACGCGCCCGGGCACCCUCAUAUUUGGACUGGAUAUGAGGGGUGUCGGUCAGCCCGGGCGUUUGAGACCCGUUUGAAGCGUCCAUCCAGCUCAAAAAAUCGUGACUAGUCAAUGACCGGAUGGACCGCCCGGGCGUUCGAGAGGGUGACCGCAUGUAGAUGCUCUAAGGCCUCCAAGAAAUCAUUCUAGGUUCAUCCUCACUUGGAAUAUUCUUGCUUAGGGAAUCACUACAAAAUCAGCUGACGGUGUAGGAAUAUAAUGGACCCGAAUAUCCAGCUACCGUUAGAUUUUUAGGCAUGAUAAAUCCAAUAAAAGAAUUAGGAACAAAAUGUGAAAAAAUGUGGCUGAAAAUUUUGAGAAAAGAGAUGUGCCUGUUGGCAAGGUAGAUUGCUUAACAUAGCAGGUCGAGUUACUUUGGUACAGUCUUGUUUGUCUAAUAUCCCUAUUUAUAUGAUGUCUUUCUAUCUUCUCCCUGCUGGGGUCAAAAAGAAAGUGGACUUUUACAGAGCCAGGAUGGUAUGGCAAGCUGAGAAAGAUAAAAGGAAAUACCACCUAGUAAACUGGAGAACCUGUUGUCUUCAAAAUAGCAAGGGGGACUGGGGAUUACAAAUCUGGAGAUGUUUAACAUUGCUUUAUUAGCUAAAUGGCUGUGGAAAUUAGAGAAUGAUGAGGGGUUCUGUCAGGGUAUUAUUAAAAAGAAAUAUGUAGGAAACAAAUGUCUUUCUGGGAUUGAGCAUAAAAAUGGAGACUCCCAAUUUUGGUGUAACAUUUUGAAAGUUAAAAAAUACUUCUAUCCCCAUGUUAAGAAAAAACUGGGGGAUGGGAAAAAUACUAGGUUUUGGGAAGACUGGUGGGUGGGUGAUAAACCACUGAAAGAAGCCUAUCCCUCUCUAUUCUUCAUUAACAAUGACCAUGGAAUUUCGGUUAAGGAUGCUAUUAAUAAAUGGUGGGGUGGCUUCUCUUUCAGAAGAUCUUUAUUUGGAGACACUGAACAGCUUUGGACUAGUAUGAAAAAUAGGUGUGAGGAAAUCUUGAUAUAUGGGGGGAGUGAUAGACCAAUGUGGAUGCUUACCGCAGACAGGAAAUUUUCUGUCAAAUAGUUAUAUAUGCACCUGAUAAAAGAUAAUGUGGGAUUCUCCAGAAAAUUUCUAUGGAAAACCAGAGUGCCUGCGAAAAUUAAAGUCUUUCUAUGGCUUCUUGCUAAGAAAAGUGUCCUUACUAGGGAUAACCUUUUAAGAAGAGGGUGGAAGGGGGAUAAACAUUGUGUGUUGUGUGGUAAAGAUGAAACAAUUGAUCAUCUAUUUUUUUCAUGUUCUGUAGCUAGAAUCAUAUGGGCGCUGGUCGGAUGUGCCUUUGAUCUAAAACAUUAUCCUAGAGAUAUCAAUGAUCGUUUUGGGAACUGGUUAAAAAAAUUCAGACAGAUAACAAAAAGUUGAUCUUGGUUGGCACCUCAGCCCUUUUGUGGGUGAUUUGGAGGUGUAGGAAUGACAUUAUCUUUGAUAGAAAAAAGAUUACUGAUCCCAUGGGGAUUGUGAAAAUAAUAUGUGGUUGGAUUUCUGAUUGGGCUAUUUUGCAGAAAAAGGACCCAAAGGAAAAAAUACUGAUGCUGGGAGCAAAACUCAUCGAACAAGUAGCAAGUGAUGUCUACAAGGCGGCGCAAGGGUGGCGUUUUGGCGUUCUCCGAAUUCAGCAGUGAUGGAAGUGGCUUCUUUUGGUGAAAGAUUCGACCAAGAUGUUUGAAGCAUGGCGUGGGCUGUUUCAGAAGCUAGAUCGCUUAGUAGUAGUUUCGAGGGACUGCUGUUAGGCAGUGGCCUUCCUUGGUUAUAUUUCUUUGCCUGUCUUUGCCCUGAACUUUUCCUGUGUUGUAAUAGGGUCAGUUUAUGAAGUGGAACCUGUCGGAUACUUGCUGGUUUCUUUAAUGGAAAUCAGAAGGGAAACCCUCUUUUGCUCAAAAAAAAAGUUUAGUUGGCAGGCAUAUCAUGGCAAGUUCCCUCGGUUCUUUUUUUCUUCUUGCCAGAAAAUUAGCGAGCUCGCCAACUACUCAUGACAACAUAAAUUACGAUGAAGACCGUUCCAUUUGCCAUGUCUAAAAAUCUGGCGUCGGAUUUUUAGUAUUCCCGAUAUCAAUUGCACGGAAAAUAUGUGCCAAAUUUGUGCAUGCUUGGUCGAUAAUUCCAUGUAUUACCCUAUUUCUACUUCUAAUAGAGCAGUUGGUAGUCUUCGUCGGUUAAUUUUCGUCCCACCAUUUUCGUCCGGUUUUUUUUCAUAGGUUUUUUUCUAGAUUUUUUUCGCACCACCCCUCCCACGAAGAAAACCAGUACGACGCCCCUCCUCUCGAUCCAGAUGCGACCUCUCUCUUUCCCUCUCUCCGUCGCCGCCCCCAUCUCCCGCUCCGCCGCCGCCCCUACCGCUCCAUCGGCCCGACCUAUUCUUCGGGCGCGACCACAGGAGCAGCUCCACCUCCCUACCCCCUCAUGCAACAGCACUCCAAACCCCCACCACCACGUCCGGCCGCCUCUAGAGUUUCUUACCCUCAAUGCCCCGCCGCGACUUGUGUUCCGGGCAGUGAGGAUGGGAGCGGGUCGGCUGUGUCGCUUAGUGGAUGGAGCGGCUGGGGCAGUGGCGCCACCGGGCUGGGCGGAGGAGAAGGAUGAGUCGUGGUGGUCCGAGACUGGAGGGCAGCGUUGUGCCAGAUCGAGGUAGCAGUAGCCGGAUCCGUGUAGAUCAAGGUUCACCAUCGUGUGAGCCAUGAAAUUUGAGAUUGCCGUCGCAUGGGUCGCCGAUGGCGAACACGCGUAGGUCAUGGACGACCCUCCCUCGCGAGCCACGCAUUCUGGCUCACCACCUCAGGCCGACGCGGUGCCUCCCCGGCGAGGCCGCGACGGCCUCUUCCUCCUCGCAUUGUCUCCGUCCUCCUGCUCAAGCCCGUCGUUGUCGCAUCCUUCGUGGCCUUUUUGUGUGGGCGCACUGCUAGAGGACGAUGUUGAACAUGAAGUGGAGCCCAGCCGGAGCGGUCUGACGCGGUGCAAGAGGAAUGGUCGACGCCAUAGCGUAUCUUCGUGGCCAAGGAGCGGUGGUCGACACCAUCGAGCAGGAGCCAUCGGUCGCCUGCACAUGGGCCGCAUUCUGAACUAAUGCUUUCUGCAACUGCAAUGUUCCCCUCCAUAGCGUAUCUUGUACAGGCAGAAGGAAUGCAGUUCAGUGACCGCGUCGGCUACAACUAGAUCGAUGGCCUGAAGGCUUUUACUGAGAAGAUGAAGAAUGCUAUAGAAUAGUGUCCAGCAACAAAGACUCCUACUACUACCGGUUCGAGAGAGGCUCUACCCUCAGGUGAUUGAUUACUUCAGACAGAUACCAAGAAGUUUAACUGACGGAUUCUGUAGCUCCUUUCCUUUGGAAGGAUUUACUGACGUGCUAGGCAAAUGUGAACUGAUGCAGGAUUCGGCAAGGAAGACCUGCUGUGGAGUCCGAGCAUCGCGUGCAGCACAUCAGCUGCCUGAGAGGGCAGCAACAGCUUUCUUUUCUACGAGAAGAUGAUCAAGGGGGCCGGCGGCCGUUUUGUGGUCAUCCUCAAUGUGUCCAAGCUCGUCCCGCAUCGGUCACAUUAUUGCCGACUCAUCGGUAAGUGUUCAACAAAUUGUCAGGUGCUGAUUUGAAUCCUUGUUCAAUUGCAAGUGGCCUGUAACACAGGGUUGAGUGCACAUUACCAUCACACUGCCAUGUAAACUUUGUUGGUACGCAAUCAAGCUGCUACAGUUCUAUUUAUAGUUUAUUUGGCCAUUUUGUCUUUGUUGUCCAUGGUCAGAUCAUGGUUUAUAGGCUUGAUCAUUAUGAGUCAGUAAAGUGAGAAUGAGCAGCAAUGAUUUAUUUACCUAAUCAUGCCAUCAAGUUUUUAGUAUCACUAUAUUAUUUAUGCUAAUUCUUUCAACAUUACUGUCAUUGUUGAUGACUCUGAAAGGUAAAGAGAAGUGUUAAAGAAUUCAUCUUCCGCUUUGGCAAGAGACCCCGCCGGCUCCGCCGAUGUCUACGCGGUUGUCAUCCUUGACCACUGUUUAGUGCCACUGCCCUGCGGCUUCUAUGACCUCGGUUGGGCUCCUCGUGGCUCCUUCACCCUCCAGCUGCAGGUGUGCUUCUCUGUUUGUGUAGCGCACGUACAAGUGCACCGUUGGGGCGUCAAUCAGGUGUUCAGCGGCAUGUCGAAGCAACUCUCUGGCCAGAACCACAACUAUGUGCGCUCCAGGUAAUGCAAUCUGUCAAUUGGGUUACACUAGGAGGAAGAGAUGUGCACAAGAACUUUCCUUCCUAGGUGGUUGCCGGUCUUCUGGAUUGGUUUGGCUGCUAUAAAAAAGUAGAACCAGUUCCACCAAAAUAGAUAGUUUAUUUGUAUCAACAGCUGACUUUUAUGUGCAAUCCUACGGAAUGGUGAGCAAAAGCCAUUUGGCGGGAUAACAGUAAUAUUGUGAAACCUUGGCCACCCUGGAUGAAGCUGGAGCCAACACCGAGCCCCCAUAUUGGUAGCUGCAAUAACGGAUGGCCAUGUAUGAAUCUGUCAAUUCUAACUGAUUGUCUUCUAAGGAUAAAUGGAACUGCUACAUUUCCUCUCUCCAGCAAACUAUUAGACCCUGCUUGUAACUAUUUUUCAUCUUGGUGUGAUUUAUAAGGGAGGCCAUGCCAUUAGUUUUUUGUUAUUACAUGCCGUGAUGACCCUUAUUCAUUGAUGUAUAGUGUUGUAUGUGGUUAAUUCCCUAAUACGGUAGUCACACUUCUCCAGAUUUUCCUUGGUCAGAAAUCUGACUUUUGGACUGAUUGUAGUCAAUCUGAAUUAGUGAGGUUCUUUUUUCCAACUGUCCAUGUUCAGUUAUCCACAUUAUCAUGCAUUUUCUUUGGUUUAAAGAUGUCACGAUGUUCACCAAGGCAGAGAAGAAAUGUUUUGAAGUUGUCCCUUCAAUUGAAAGAAGUAUGACUUGGUCCUUAGUGCCUAUGCAGACAUGAAAACGGGAGGUCGAGAGGUUUAAAUAUGUCAUGAUGUUUUCCAUUGUAGAUAUCCUGCUUCAGUUACUUGCCUGAUAACUCACAAUUUCAACACUGAAGUUACUAAUUUGUAAGACAUGCCCUCUCUCAUUCAAUGAUGUCCUGAAAUUUUCACACAAAGCUUUGUAAUCUUGCCAAGUAAUAAUGCUAAUUUUUAGAGAACUUCAAAUGGCAUGCCACCAUUUGCAAUGGUUGUGAUGUAGUGAUAAUUAAUAAACUACAGGCCUUCUAAAUAUUCUAAAGUUUCAUAUCUAAGAGCAUAUUAUAUUUCUCGUAAACAACUGCAGUUAAGCUUCUAUCCUCUUCCUGUCUUGAAGGAAUUAUCUGUUGAGUAAGCUACAGUAUCUUUGUUUGACUAGCUAGGCUGUGUUGCAUACAUGUAAAAGGUGAUGCUUCUGUGGCUUCUUCCAUUUGUAUAUGUGUUGAAGCUCUUUGGUAUUUUUUAAGAUAUGAACUCUUUUGUUGUUUGACUAGCACAAGGCUCCAAGAGCCCACAUUUCUGCAUGUAUAUAUUUGUUGUAUAUCCUUUGCUCGUUUGCCGACUAUAAUCAUCAGAAGGUAAUACACGGCAGCUGAAUUCUCUCGAUAGACUUCGCCUUAGUCAUCUGCUGAAGCAAAUUCCGCCUACCUUAUUCCUCGAGAGUUUUUCAACUAAAAUUGCUAUCCGAAAAAAUGAAACCCCAAUAAAACUGAAACUUGCCAUCUAAACAGAAAGUUGCCAUAUUUCACAACUAAAGUUGUCAUAAAAAAACAUCAGGGCGAAAUUGCUUUGUGCCAUAUAUGUGGCACUUAUGAGGGUCCAAAAAAGGAGAAAAGAGGAAAGAUGAAAAGAAUGGAACGAUGAAUGUAGUCACGUGAGGUUUGCUGGCAGAGUGGUUGGUGCAUUGUAGCUCGUAGCAGGAGGUCGCCUGUUAGAGUCGUAGUACGCACUUCUUUUUUGUUUUAAAAAAGAGAAAGAAAAAAGUAGAUGAGUUGGCCCAGCUCAUAGCGUUGCAGGCACCCGUUUGCAAAAUGAGCUAUAACUGGUGCCUGCAGCACCAAAUAGGAAACAUCCUAUUAAUUUCCCCUCCUUGAUUUCAUUAGUGCGCGCGGCCUGUGAAUUUUACCCCAGGCUAUAAAGCCCCUCCAGAUGAAACCCUAUAGGUGUAGUAUGACCCUUAAUAGUGUAUCCUUGUAAAAGUCAGUGUGUUGGGUUAUUUUUUUGGUGUGGUUAGAGAACUAGACUCCAUUUUGCACGAGGGUUUGAGUUUUUCCUAAACCUUUGAGAGGCAGAGCCAUGGAAAUAUUUUGUGCUCUCAUUCCUCUGGAUGGAAGCUCUAACUUUUCCUCUGUGCUUCCAAUAAGCUACUUUCUUCGAGAUUGUGCAAUGAAGGAUUUUGAUGGUAAGGGAUCAUAGAGCCUGGGGUGACUAGCAUUAAGAUAGGAAGGCGGUUGCCGCCCUUGUCCCUUGUUGCUGGGUUGCCACGGUGGCGUCAAUCACUGGCUCAUUUAGAACAAGAGUUAGUGGUUUUUUUAUAAGGGUGAUGGUUGAGAGUAAGCGGGACGGGUGUUGGGAUUGGUCUGUUGCAUGCAUGAAAUUAUUUCCCCGCUUUAGAAAAUAUGGCAAAUUGUGUUUCAUUAGAGAUUGAUUUGCAGCAAAUUGCAUGAGCGGGUGGUUCAUGCAUUUUUCAUCAAGUCGUACAUUUUUCUGGUUAUGACAUAACGGUAAAUGUAUUGGUUGGUUGCUUCAAGACUCAAUAACAGACACUAUGAAAUGACUCAAGAGAGAUCAGAUCUACCUUCUUGGCUGGGGGCGUUAUGGGUGGCGCACGCCUCGCCCCCCUUGAUGGCGGUAGUGGAUGGGCACGAACACGAGGGGGGAUCAGGGCGGAGAGCAGGGUGGUUGGCUGGGGACUCAUCCUUGGCAGUUCGUGGGAGAGUACGGUGUGAAGAAGAGAGGGCGCAAUGGCGAAGGUGAGGUAGGCGUCAUCCGGUUAUAAAGGAGAGGAAUCCAAUGAGAAAUGUCCCGCUACGGCGGAAACCGGGCAGAAAGUGAAAGGUCCGACAAAAAGGGAAGGGUGCGUCGUGGAGAAAAAGGAAGGGUGUGUUGUGGGGUGAGGUUUUUUUGUUGGGACCGUGGGUUGAAGAUAACACGGUGGAUAGUACAAACAACCACAUCANNNNNNNNNNNNNNNNNNNNNNNNNNNNNNNNNNNNNNNNNNNNNNNNNNNNNNNNNNNNNNNNNNNNNNNNNNNNNNNNNNNNNNNNNNNNNNNNNNNNNNNNNNNNNNNNNNNNNNNNNNNNNNNNNNNNNNNNNNNNNNNNNNNNNNNNNNNNNNNNNNNNNNNNNNNNNNNNNNNNNNNNNNNNNNNNNNNNNNNNNNNNNNNNNNNNNNNNNNNNNNNNNNNNNNNNNNNNNNNNNNNNNNNNNNNNNNNNNNNNNNNNNNNNNNNNNNNNNNNNNNNNNNNNNNNNNNNNNNNNNNNNNNNNNNNNNNNNNNNNNNNNNNNNNNNNNNNUGGACUGUCCAGAGGGUUGGAUUUUAGGAGCCCGCGGGCCGCCCGAAUGAUGUCCAAACAUGACCGCACAUAUAAUAAAGAAAUGAAUUUCGAUCUUAAAGAUGACCUUAAUCAUUUAUUUUAUUUAUUUACAUGCAUUAUAGCCCGUAGCAACGCACGGGGUUCUACUAGUAAAUGUAAGUGCACGAGUAGCUGUCGCACGGAAAUUAUUGUCGUCACGGCCGAGAGUGCAAUGCACGCAGUCACUGCAAGAUCACGGACGGAAUCAACACGGCCUGUUAUGCGUAGGCUGGCAGCAUGCAUGCGCUCGUUGCGCAGGACAAAGUUCACGGUGGGCAUGCAUGCAUGGAGUUCGUCCUGUGUGUCGACCCGUGUGUCGUCGUACGCGUACAAAUGUCCUGAUCGGACAAGGCCGGUCGACGUCGACGCCCAUUUACCCUCGAAUCUCGUGUGCAAAGUCUCGCGCGCGCACUAGCCAACUAGCGAUCGAGUUUACGACCUCUGGAUCGAUCGUGCUCCCCACGUCCCCGGGCCAUGCCGCUUGAUUUAAACCACCACGCAGGCACCGCAUCCCCCGGCCUCUCCAACGAGUCUCAACUUCCUUAUCCAACGAUCCGCUGGACGGGACUAACUAGGCUGUCACAUCCCUUCCAUCUACCACAACCAACGGCGUCGGCGAUAAUGGCCGCCUUGCCGCAGCUGCUUCUGAUCCUCUUCCCCGCGGAGGUUGCCGUCCUGACCCUGCUGCUGGCCUCGGCGCCGGGAGCGCGGGCUCACGCCUCCUCGUCCUCGUCAUCGGCGACGUACCGCUGCGGCUGGUGCCCGCGCAGGUCCACCGCGUCCAUCCUCCCUCCCGGCGCCGGCGCACUGACCGGUGCCGCCUGCGGGUAUGGUGGCCAGGCGGCGGAGAUGGCCGUCGACGGGGGGCUCCACAUUGCGGCCGUCAGCGCCAGUUUCUUCCGCGGUGGCCGGGCCUGCGGCGCCUGCUACCAGCUGAUGUGCAGGGGACGGAGCGCGUGCGCGGCGGGCGGCGUCAAGGUCGUCGUCGUCGCCGACGUGGCAGAGACGAACAUGACCGGUGGUGGUGCCGGUGGGCGGUUUCUGCUCACCAAGGACGCCUUCGCCGCCUUGGCGACGCCAGACCGUAACGCCGAGCUCGCGGACGCGGACGUCGACGUGGACUUCAGGAGGAUUCCCUGCGUGUACAAGAGCAAGAACUUGGCGGUUAAAGUGGAGGAGACGAGCAGCAGGGACCGGGGUUACCUCGCCCUCCGCUUCCUCUACCAGGGCGGCCAGACCGACAUCGCCGCCGUCGAGGUCGCGCAGGCGGUCACCGGUUCCAGCGGCACCAACAACGACGCAGCACCGUUGCAGACAUCCUGGCAGUACAUGACCCGGCGCGAGGCGUCCCCGUCGAUGUGGCGCACGUCGCGCGUGCCGGCCGGUCUGCUGCAGCUCCGGCUUGUGGUCACCGCGGGCUCCGGCGGCAAGUGGCUGCGCGCCGACGGGGCGGUGCUCCCCGCGAAUUGGCAGCCCGGCGCGGUCUACGACACCGGCCUGCGCGUCACCGACGUCGCCGCAAGCACCUGCGGCGGCGCCUCCUGUUCCUCCACGGACGAGGGCGACGACGCCGAGCAGCUCCGAUGACACGCUUCCCGGCAUGCAUGAUGCAUCCACCACGGACCGAUCGAUGGUCCAUUGGAGCCGGCCCGCACGUCAACGGCGACGCCGCGCAUGCAGAUCUGCACCGGCCAGCCGCCGGAAUAUCGGUCGAUGCUGCAUGUACACUGUACAGAGACGUGUACAUCGCAACGUACGACAUGCAUGCAUGUGUGCACGGCCGACGACGAGUUCCGGUUAGGACAAAACCUCCAUGGUCCCGCUCUAAACAGAGGAUGUUGGCGCGUAGCUUCACGUGUGGAGGGAAGGGACUAAUGCAGAGAAGAACAUGUAGAUGGCUCUGUUCAGGUCUUGGAAUCACAUGACAGCACUACUGUUUUGGCUGCUCGUCCUCUUCCUCUUUGGAAUAGUAGGAGAGUAUUAUUGUAGGUUGAUUGCAUGGGCUGAUUAAGAUUGAUCAGUUGCCGACUAAGACUAAGUUAACUGUAUUGCAUUAUGUUGUGCUGUGUUUAUUUCAUACUUUUUUCGCAAGAAAUUAAUGAAAACAAUUGAGAAAAACUAGAUACCCCGCAUGUUGCUGAGGGAUGUUUCGCAUCAAGUAUGAAUGAGAUGUUGUGGCACAGUUGAGCAGAUUGCAAUCAGACAAAUACUCAUGAACUAUCGAUAUGCUCGGUUGUUUACCGAGCUCAAAAUAAUAUUUGCAUCUAUAAUGAACAAACUGAAAGAGUUUCUUGUUGUGCAAAUCCAUACAUCAAACUAAAAGAGGUAUGAACCAAAUCCACACAUCAAAACACUUGCCGAAAAUCAUUUCUUGCCUAUCCGGUUGUGGGCCAAUAGUAAACUCUCCUAAUAAAGAAUGAACAUAUCGCCGGACAAAGGAAAUUGUAUAUGAGAUUAACUGAAUCCUCGACAUCGUGGUUCAGACCGAUAAAAAUCUACGAUGAAUGUGUGGGAGUUCAUAUGGGCAUCCAGGUUCCGCUAUUGAUUAUUGAUCCGAGAGGUGUCUCGGUCAUGUCGGCAUGUUCUCGAACCCGUAGGAUCACACACUUAAGGUUCUCGGUAACGCUAGGGUAGUAUUGGGAUAUUCAUACUGACGAGACUGAAUAUUGUUUGGAGUCUCAGAUGGGAUCCGAGACAUCAUGAGGAGCUCCGGAAUGGUUCAGAGGUAAAGAUUUAUAUAUGGAAAGUGUUUUUCAGGGUUUCGAAAAAGUUAGGGAAUUUUUUAUGGAGUACCGAGAAGGUUCAGGGGUUCCACCGUGGGGCCCAAUGACCUGGGAAGGGCCCACAUGGACCGAGGAGUGGGCCAACAACCCACAUGGGUUGGUCGCACCAGCUCCCAAGGCCCAUGUCAUUUAAAUCUAGAGAUAAGGUCUUACAUCUAAAUUUAAAGGGUUAAAUCUAGAGAUAAUAUCUUAUCUCUAAAUUUAAAAGGAUUUCUCCCUUGUGGCUGGCCCUAGGAGGGUUUUGGCAGCCCCUCCCUGCCCCCUAGCCUAUAUAAAGAGAGGGGAGGUGCAUGGGGACGGCGACCCAUCCAUUGCUAGCCUGCCUCUCCCAUCUCCCUCCACCUCCUCUCCAGUACAAGCUUAGCGAAGCCCUGACGGAAUUUCGCUGCCACCACCACAACCACGCCAUCAUGUUGGUUCAGAUCCCAUCUACCUCUUAUCCCUUGCUUGCUAAAUCAAAAAGGAGGAGACGUCACCGAGCCGUACGUGUGCACAUCUCGGAGGUGCCGUUCGUGCGGUACUCAGAUCGGAUUGGAUCAUGAAGGAGUACGACUACGCCAACCACGAUCUCUAGAUCGUUAACGCUUUCAGUCUAUAAGGGUAUAUAGACAUACUCCACUCUCGUUGUUAGCAUCUUCAUACAUUAGAUCUUGGGUGUUCCGUAGGAUUUUUUUGUUUUCCAUGCAACUUCCCCAUCAGUGAGUAAUCAAAAUUAGCUGCAAUCUCCGCUCCUUUCCUAUUCUGCGACGUUGGUGUGUACACGGGUGGGAAUUUUCAUGCAGUACGUGUUGGGGAACGUAGCAGAAAUUCAAAAUUUUCUACGCAUCACCAAGAUCAAUCUAUGGAGUAAUCUAGCAACGAGGGAAGGAGAGUGCAUCUACAUACCCUUGUAGAUCGCUAAGCGGAAGCGUUCAAGUGAACGGGGUUGAUGGAGUCGUACUCGUCGUGAUCCAAAUCACCGAUGAUCCUAGUGCCGAACGGACGGCACCUCCGUGUUCAACACACGUACAGCCCGGUGACGCCUCCUACGCCUUGAUCCAGUAAGGGGAGAAGGAGAGGUUGGGGAAGACUCCAUCCAGCAGCAGCACGACGGCGUGGUGGUGGUGGAGGAGCGUGGUACUCCAGCAGGGCUUCGCCAAGCACCGCAAGAGACGAGGAGGGAGAGGGGUAGGGCUGCGCCAAGAAGGAGAUGUUCUCGUGUUUCUGGCAGCCCAAAACCCCCACUAUAUAUAGGGGAAAGGGAGGGGUUGCGCCCCCACCUAGGUUUCCACCCCUAGGGGUGGCGGCCAGCCCUAGAUCCCAUCUAGGGGGCGGCCAAGGGGGGAGAGAGGGGGGCGCACCACUAGGUGGGCCUUAGGCCCAUCUGAGCCUAGGGUUUCCCCUUUUUCCAUUCUCUCUUCGCCUUGGGCCCUGGUGGGGGGGUGCCCAGCCCACCUGGGGCUGGUCCCCUCCCACACUUGGCCCAUGCAGCCCUCCGGGGCUGGUGGACCCACUUGGUGGACCACCGGGACCCUCCCGGUGGUCCCGGUACAUUACCGAUAAAACCCGAAACUUUUCCGGCGACCAAAACAGGACUUCCCAUAUAUAAAUCUUUACCUCCGGACCAUUCCGGAACUCCUCGUGACGUCCGAGAUCUCAUCCGGGACUCUGAACAACAUUCGGUAACCACGUAUAUCUAUUCCCUAUAACCCUAGCGUCAUCGAACCUUAAGUGUAUAGACCCUACGGGUUCGGGAACCAUGCAGACAUGACCAAGACAACUCUCUGGUCAAUAACCAACAGCGGGAUUUGGAUACCCAUGUUGGCUCCCACAUGUUCCACGAUGAUCUCAUCGGAUAAACCACGAUGUCAAGGAUUCAAUCAAUCCCGUAUACAAUUCCCUUUGUCUAGUGGUACGAUACUUGCCCGAGAUUCGAUCGUCGGUAUCCCGAUACCUUGUUCAAUCUCGUUACCGGCAAGUCUCUUUACUCGUUCCGUAACACAUCAUCCCGUGAUCAACUUCUUGGUCACAUUGUGCACAUUAUGAUGAUGUCCUACCGAGUGGGCCCAGAGAUACCUCUCCGUUACACGGAGUAACAAAUCCCAGUCUCGAUUCGUGCCAACCCAACAGACACUUCGGAGAUACCUGUAGUGUACCUUUAUAGCCACCCAGUUACGUUGUGACGUUUGGCACACCCAAAGCACUCCUACGGUAUCCGGGAGUUGCACAAUCUCAUGGUCUAAGGAAAUGACACUUGACAUUAGAAAAGCUUUAGCAUACGAACUACACGACCUUUGUGCUAGGCUUAGGAUUGGGUCUUGUCCAUCACAUCAUUCUCCUAAUGAUGUGAUCCCGUUAUCAAUGACAUCCAAUGUCCAUGGUCAGGAAACCGUAACCAUCUAUUGAUUAACGAGCUAGUCAACUAGAGGCUUACUAGGGACAUGUUGUUGUCUAUGUAUCCACACAUGUAUCUGAGUUUCCUAUCAAUACAAUUCUAGCAUGGAUAAUAAACGAUUAUCAUGAACAAGGAAAUAUAAUAAUAACCAAUUUAUUAUUGCCUCUAGGGCAUAUUUCCAACAGUCUCCCACUUGCACUAGAGUCAAUAAUCUAGUUCACAUCGCCAUGUGAUUAACACUCACAGGUCACAUCGCCAUGUGACCAACAUCCAAGAGUUUACUAGACUCAAUGAUCUAGUUCACAUCACUAUGUGAUAAACACUCAAAGAGUUCUGGGUUUGAUCAUGUUAUGCUUGUGAGGGAGGUUGUAGUCAACGGGUCUUGCCAUAUUCAGAUCCCUAUGUAUUUUGCAAAACUUUAUAUCGUAGAUGCUGCUGCCACGUUCCACUUGGAUCUAUUCCAAAUUUUUGCUCCAUUAUACGUAUCCGAUAUCUCUACUCAGUGCUAUCCGAAUAGGUGUUAAGCUUGCAUCGACGUAACUCUUUACGUCGAACUCUUUAUCACCUCCAUAACCGAGAAACAUUUCCUUAUUCCUCUAAGGAUAAUUUUGACCGCUAUCUGGUGAUCUACUCCUAGAUCACCUUUGUACCCUCUUGCCAGACAUGUGGCAAGGCACACAUCAGGUGCGGUACUUCAGCAUGGCAUACCGUAUAGAGCCUAUGACAAAAGCAUAGGGGACGACCUUCGUCCUUUCUCUUUCUUAUGCCGUGGUCAAGCUUUAAGUCUUACUCAACUUCACACCUUACAACUCAGGUAAGAACCCCUUCUUUGACUGAUCUAUUUUGAACUCCUUCAAAAACAUGUCAAGAUGUGCGUUCUUUGAAAGUACCAUCAGGCGUCUUGAUCUAUCUCUAUAGAUCUUGAUGCCCAAUGUGUAAGCAGCUUUAUCUAGGUCUUCCUUUGAAAAUCACUCUUCAAACAACCGUUUAUGCUUUCCAGAAAUUCUACAUCAUUUCGGAUCAACAAUAUGUCAUCCACAUAUACUUAUCAGAAAUGUUGUAGUGCUCCCACUCACUUUCUUGUAAAUACAAGUUUCUAGCAAACAUUGUAUAAACCUAAAAGCUUUGAUCACUCCAUUAAACAUAUAUUCCGAUUGCGAGAUGCUUGCUCUAGUCCAUAGAAGGAUUGCUGGAGCCAGCAUACCUUUUAGCGUCCUUAGGAUCGACAAAACCUUUUAUUGUAUCACAUACAACUUUUCUUACGAAAACUUGGUAAGAAAUCUUGUUUUGACAUCCAUCUGUAAGAUUUCAUAAUCAAAAAAUACAGCUAAUGCUAUCAUGAUUCCGACAGACUUAAGCAUCGCUACGGGUGAGAAAUUCUCAUCGUAGUCAACUCCUUGAACUUGUGAAAAAAUUCUUUCCCACAAGUCGAGCUUCUUAGACGGUAACAUUACCUCCCACGUCCGUCUUCUUCUUAAAUAUCCAUUUAUCUCAAUGGCUUGCCGAUCAUCGGGCAAGUCCAUCAAAGUCUAUACUUUGUUCUGAUAUAUGGAUCCUAUCUCGGAUUUCAUGGCUUCUAACCAUUUGUCGGAAUACGGGCCCACCAUCGCUUCUCCAUAGCUCGUAGGUACAUUGUUGUCUAACAACAUGAUAUCUAAGACAGGAUUACCGUACCACUCAGGAGUAGUACAUAUCCUUGUCGACCUACGAGGUUCGAUAGCAACUUGAUCCGAAGCUUCAUGAUCACUAUCAUUAACUUCCUAUUCAACAGACGUAGGUGCCACAGAAAACAUCUUUCUAUGUUGCAUCAUUCUCUGGUUGAAAUAAAGGUUCGACAACCUCAUCAAGUUCUAUCUUCCUCCCACUCAAUUCUUUCGAGAGAAACUCCUUCUCGAGAAAGGACCCGUUCUUAGCGACAAACAAUUUGCCCUCGGAUCCGAGAUAGAAGGUAUACCCAACUGUCACCUUUGGGUAUCCUAUGAAGAUGUGUUUGUCCGCUUUUGGGUUCGAGCUUCUCCUGCUAAAGCCUUAAGCAUCGCAACCCCAAACAUUAAGAAACGACAACUUUGGUUUCUUGCCAAACCAAUGUUCAUACGACGUCAUCUCAACGGACUUAUAUGGUGUCCUAUCUAAAGUGAAUGCAGCUGUCUAUAACGCAUAACCUCAAAAUAAUAGCGGUAGAUCGGUAAGAGACAUCAUAGAUCGCACCAUAUCUCAUAGGGUUUGAUUACGAUGUUCGGACACACCAUUACCCUGUGGUGUUCCAGGUGACUUCAACUGUGAAACAAUUCCACAAUGUCUUAAGUGUUUGCCAAUACUCAUAACUCAGAAAUUCUCAUUGAUCAGAUCGUAGGAAUUUGAUCUUCUUGUUAUGAUGAUUCUUAACUUCACUCUGAAAUCGCUUGAACUUUUCAAACGUUUCAGACUUGUGCUUCAUUAAGUAAAUAUACCUAUAUCUACUCAAAUCGUCAAUGAAGAUGAGAAAAUAGCGAUAUCCACUGCACGCUUCAAUUCUCAUUGGAUCACACGCAUCAGCAUGUAUGAUUUCCAACAAGUCACUUGCCCGUUUCAUCGUACCUGAAAACGGGGUCUUAGUCAUCCUGCCCAUGAGGCAUGGCUCACAUGUGUCAAGUGAUUCAAAAUCAAGUGACUCCAAACAUCCAUCGACAUGGAGUUUCUUCAUGCAUCUUACGCCAAUAUGACCUAAGCGGCAGUGCCACAAGAAAGUGGUACUAUCAUUAUUAACUCUACAUCUUUUGGCGUGGACAUGUGUAUUACCACGACCGAGAUUCAAUGAACCAUUCACAUAGGGUGCAUGACCAUGAAAGGUAUCAUUCAUGUAAACAGAAUAACUAUUAUUCUCUAACUUAAAUGAAUGACCGUCUUGCAAUGAACAUGAUCUAAUCAUACUCAUGCUCAACGUAGACACCUGAUAACAUUUAUCUAGGUUCAAUACUAAUCCCGAAGGCAGAUGGAGCAUGCGAUGGUGAUCUCAUCAACUUUGGAAACACUUCCAACACACAUCGUCACCUCGCCCUUAGCCAGUCUCCGUUUAGUCCGUAGCUUUUGCUUCAAGUCACCAAUAAUAGCAACUGAACCGGUAUCCAAUACCCAGGUGCUACCAGGAGUACUAGUGAGGUACACAUUAAUAACACGUAUAUACUUUGUUGAAGUUGCCAGCCUUCUUAUCUGCCAUGCAUUUGGGGUAAUUCCGCUACCAGUGUCCGUUCCCCUUACAAUAGAAGCACUUAGUCUCGGGUUUGGUUCAACCUUGGGUUCCUUCACUAGAGCGGCAACUGAUUUGCCAUCCAUGAAGUUUCCCUUCUAGCCCUUGCCCUUCUUGAAACCAGUGGUCUUGUUAAACCAUCAACACUUGAUGCUCCUUCUUGAUUUCUACCUUCUGCGGUCUUAAGCACCGCGAUCAGCUCCGGGAUCAACUCCAUCCCUUGCAUGUCAUAGUUCAUCACGAAGAUCUAGUAGCUUAGUGAUAGUGGCUAGAGAACUCUAUUAAUCACUAUCUUAUCUGGAAGUUUAACUCCCACUUGAUUUAAGUGAUUAUAGUACCCAGACAUUCUGAGCACAUGCUCACUAGCUGAGCUAUUCUCCUCCAUCUUGUUGGCAAAAGAACUUGUCAGAGGUCUCACACCUCUCAACACGGGCAUGAGCCUGAAAUCCCAAUUUCAGCUCUUGGAACAUCUCAUAUGUUCUAUGGCGUUUAAAACGUCAUUGGAAUCCCGUUUCUAAGCCGUAAAGUAUGAUGCACUAAACUAUCAAGUAGUCAUCAGGAUGUGUCUGUCAGGUGUUCACAACAUCCACAGACGACGUGGUAGGGGUUUGCACAUCGAGUGGUGCAUCAAAGACGUAAGCCUUUUGUGUAGCAGUGAGGACACUCCUCGGACUACGGACCUAGUCCGUAUCAUUGCUUACAAUAUCUUUCAACUUAAUCUUUCUCUUGGAACAUAUUGAAACAGGGAGCUACAACAUGAGCUAUUUAUCUACAACAUAUUUGCAAAGACAAUUUAGACUAUGUUCAUGAUAAUUGAGUUCAUUUAAUGAACUCCCACUCAGAUAGACAUCCCUCUAGUCAUCUAAGUGAAACAUGAUCCGAGUCAACUAGGCCGUGUCCGAUCAUCACGUGAGACGGACUAGUCAACAUCGGUGAACAUCUUCAUAUUGAUCGUAUCUUCUAUACGACUCAUGCUCGACCUUUCGGUCUUCCGUGUUCCGAGGCCAUGUCUAUACAUGCUAGGCUCAUCAAGUCAACCUAAGUGUUUUUGCUGUGUAAAUCUGGCUUACACCCGUUGUAUUCGAACGUUAGAAUCUAUCACACCCGAUCAUCACGUGGUGCUUCGAAACAACGAACCUUCGCAAUGGUGCACAGUUAGGGGGGACACUUUUCUUGAAAUUUUAGAGAGGGGUCAUCUUAUUUAAGCUACCGUCAUUCUAAGAAAAUAAGAUGUAAAACAUGAUAAACAUCACAUGCAAUCAAAUAGUGACAUGAUAUGGCCAAUAUCAUUUUUGCUCCUUUUGAUCUCCGUCUUCGGGGCUCCAUGAUCAUCGUUGUCACCGGCAUGACACCAUGAUCUACAUCAUCAUGAUCUCCAUCAUAGUGUCUUCUUGAAGUUGUCUCGUCAUCUAUUACUUCUACUACUAUGGCUAACGCUUUAGCAAUAAAGUAAAGUAAUUACAUGACGUUUAAGUUGACACGCAGGUCAUAAAUAAAUUAAGACAACUCCUAUGGCUCAUGCCGGUUGUCAUACUCAUUGACAUGCAAGUCGUGAUUCCUAUUACAAGAACAUGAUCAAUCUCAUACAUCACAUAUAUCAUUCAUCACAUCCUUUUGGCCAUAUCACAUCACAAGGCAUAUGCUGCAAAAACAAGUUAGACGUCCUCUAAUUGUUGUUGCAAGUUUUUACGUGGCUGCUAUAGGUUUCUAGCAAGAACGUUUCUUACCUACGCGAAAACCACAACGUGAUAUGCCAAUUUCUAUUUACCCUUCAUAAGGACCCUUUUCAUCGAAUCCGAUCCGACUAAAGUGGGAGAGACAGACACCCGCUAGCCACCUUAUGCAACUAGUGCAUGUCAGUCGGUGGAACCAGUCUCACGUAAGAGUACGUGUAAGGUCGGUCCGGGCCGCUUCAUCCCACGAUGCCGCCGAAUCAAGAUAAGACUAGUAACAGCAAGUAAAUUGACAAAAUCGACGCCCACAAUGGCUUUGUGUUCUACUCGUGCAUAGAAACUACGCAUAAACCUGGCUCAUGAUGCCACUGUUGGGGAACAUAGCAGAAAUUCAAAAUUUUCUACGCAUCACCAAGAUCAAUCUAUGGAGUAAUCUAGCAACGAGGGAAGGAGAGUGCAUCUACAUACCCUUGUAUAUCUCUAAGCGAAAGCGUUCAAGUGAACGGGGUUGAUGGAGUCAUACUCGUCGUGAUCCAAAUCACCGAUGAUCCUAGUGCCGAACGGACGACACCUUCGUGUUCAACACACGUACAGCCCGGUGACGUCUCCUACGCCUUGAUCCAGCAAGGGGAGAAGGAGAGGUUGGGGAAGACUCCAUCCAGCAGCAGCAUGACGGCGUGGUGGUGGUUGAGGAGUGUGGUACUCCAGCAGGGCUUUGCCAAGCACCGCAAGAGACGAGGAGGGACAGGGGUAGGGCUGCGCCAAGAAGGAGAUGUUCUCGUGUUUCUGGCAGCCCAAAAUCCCCACUAUAUAUAGGGGAAAGGGAGGGGCUGCGCCCCCACCUAGGUUUCCACCCCUAGGGGUGGCGGCCAGCCCUAGAUCCCAUCUAGGGGGCGGCCAAGGGGGGAGAGAGGGGGGGCGCACCACUAGGUGGGCCUUAGGCCCAUCUGAGCCUAGGGUUUCCCCUUUUUCCCUUCUCUCUUCGCCUUGGGCCCUGGUGGGGGGCGCACCGGCCCACCUGGGGCUGGUCCCCUCCCACACUUGGCCCAUGCAGCCCUCUGGGGCUGGUGGCCCCACUUGGUGGACCACCGGGACCCUCCCAGUGGUCCCGGUACAUUACCGAUAAAACCCGAAACUUUUCCGGCGACCAAAACAGGACUUCCCAUAUAUAAAUCUUUACCUCCGGACCAUUCCGUCACUCCUCGUGACGUCCGGGAUCUCAUCCGGGACUCCGAACAACAUUCAGUAACCAUGUAUAUCUAUUCCCUAUAACCCUAGCGUCAUCGAACCUUAAGUGUGUAGACCCUACGGGUUCGGGAACCAUGCAGACAUGACCGAGACAACUCUCCGGUCAAUAACCAACAGCGGGAUCUGGAUACCCAUGUUGGCUCCCACAUGUUCCACGAUGAUCUCAUCGGAUGAACCACGAUGUCAAGGAUUCAAUCAAUCCCGUAUACAAUUCCCUUUGUCUAGCGGUACGAUACUUGCCUGAGAUUCGAUCGUCGGUAUCUCGAUACCUUGUUCAAUCUCGUUACCGGCAAGUCUCUUUACUCGUUCUGUAACACAUCAUCUCGUGAUCAACUCCUUGGUCACAUUGUGCACAUUAUGAUGAUGUCCUACCGAGUGGGCCCAGAGAUACCUCUCCGUUACACGGAGUAACAAAUCCCAGUCUCGAUUCGUGUCAACCCAACAGACACUUUCGGAGAUACCUGUAGUGUACCUUUAUAGCCACCCAGUUACAUUGUGGCGUUUGGCACACCCAAAGCACUCCUACGGUAUCCGGGAGUUGCACAAUCUCAUGGUCUAAGGAAAUGACACUUGACAUUAGAAAAGCUUUAGCAUACAAACUACACGAUCUUUGUGCUAGGCUUAUGAUUGGGUCUUGUCCAUCACAUCAUUUUCCUAAUGAUGUGAUCCCGUUAUCAAUGACAUCCAAUGUCCAUGGUCAGGAAACCGUAACCAUCUAUUGAUUAACGAGCUAGUCAACUAGAGGCUUACUAGGGACAUGUUGUUGUCUAUGUAUCCACACAUGUAUCUGAGUUUCCUAUCAAUACAAUUCUAGCAUGGAUAAUAAACGAUUAUCAUGAACAAGGAAAUAUAAUAAUAAUCAAUUUAUUAUUGCCUCUAGGGCAUAUUUCCAACAGUACGCUCCCGUCGAUUAUUGGCCUAAAGGAUUAACUAUUGAAUAAAUAGCAAGAGAAUUAGGUGUCGUGGCAGUUAUGGGCCUAACUAAACGAUGCUAUUUUUAUGUCUUAGGCAAACAAAAUUAGAGCCAACCGCUGAUUACCUAGGUCCCAAAGAUUCAACAUGCAUGUCGAGUAAACUGUGACGGAGGGAGUAACAAGAAUUGAAGUAUAAAGAGAGCAUCAAAAAGCAUGUAACAAGCACAUUUAAGUCUAAUCCACUUUCUAUGCAUAGGCAUCUUAUAAGUAAAGAAAAUAUUAAGACAAAAAAUAUCUAGCAUAUGCAAGGAAUGUGAAUGAAACAUUGACAAUCUCAACAUAAUGAGAUGUAAUUUAGGAACAUGAUUUUUUAUAACAAUGCUCGCCUCUCUCGAAAUAACUACAUGUAGGAUCAUAAUCGAAUACAACAAUAUAUCCAUCAUAUAAAAAAAUUUCUUCAUGAUCCACAUGUAUACAAAAUCUACAAUCUUCCAAGAUAGUGGGAUUAAUAUCAACCAAAGUCAUGACCUCUCCAAACCCACUUUUAUAAAAAAAUCAUAAGAUUUGAUCAUUAUCUAAAGUAGUGGGAUCAUUGUUACAUAAAGUUGAUGCUCUUACAAACCCACUUUAAAUAGUAUUGCAAACAGUAUUAUCAAUAACAUAUUCAAUAUGAGGCUCAAAUAAACUCUCGAUAUCAGAAGAAGCAUCAUAAUUAUCACACAAUCAUGAUCAUUACAAUAAGUAGUAGGCAUAACAAAAUGAUCAUCAAUAGUGCCUACCGACAUAGUUUCACAAUAAAAAGCAAUAUUUUCAUCAAUUGUAUCAUAUUCAUCACUUGAGUCAUAAGAAUUAUCAUAUUUUUAUUUUAUAACUUCUUCAUUAGUAGGGGGACUAAAAAUAUCAUACACAUCAAACUCAUCAUCCCCAAACUUGUAGCUUUGCAUAUCAUAAGCACAAUUGACAUUCAUGGAAUUCAUACUAGCAUCAUUGAAAUCAUGCUUUUCAUUCAAGGAACUAUCAUGAAUCACUCUGUAAAAUUCUUCUUUUAACACUUCAUAACAAAGGCAAGGGGUGGUCACUCCCCUUGUUCUUGCUAGUUGCAUGUAUCAAAUCUGGUAAUGGUAGAUACAAUAAUAUAAGUAAAGUAGAACAACAAAAAAUUGUAAGAUCGCUUGAAUAUAACUAAGAAUGAACUCGAGGGCCAUAGACUCACUAGAGGCAUCUCUCUCAGAAAUGGCAUCGGUGGGUAAACAUUUUUUUUGUUGGGAAAUUAACAAAAAAGCACAUAGUUAUGAUGAUUAUCCAAAGCAUGGUCAAUAUAUAGGCAUUACGUCUGUGACAAGUAGACCGUUAAACUUAUCGACAUCUACUACUAUUACUCCACCCCAAUACCGCUAUCCAGCAUGCAUCUCAAAUUAUUAAGUUCAUGACAAACAGAGUAAUGCAUUAAGCAAGAUGACAUAAUGUAGAUAGAAUAAGGGCAACUAAUAUGACCAAACCCCGUUGUUUUACCCUUAGUAGCAACAAUACAAAUGUGUGCCUCACCCACCUGUCACAGAGCAAGACUAACCGCAAGAUUGAACCUACUACUAAGCACCUCUCCCACUGAAGAUAAAUCAAUCUACUUGGCCAAAGAAGACAGAUAGAUUGGAGAGAAAUACAAGGUUAUGAAACUACACAAUCAAAGAGAUCUCAAAGGACAUAAAUAAUAUCAACGAAUAAUAUGAUCAUUAACCCAUAAUUCAUCGGAUCCCAACAAACACACCGCAAAGAUUACAUAGAAUACAUCUCAGAGGAGAUCAUUGUAUUGAAGAUCAAAAGAGAGAUAACAAGCCAUCUAGGUACUACUAUGGACCUAUAGGUCUUGAAGAAACUACUCACACAUCAUCACGGAGGCAACAAGGUUGAUGAAGAUAGCCUCCCCAAUGCUUCCUUCCUUUGACAAAGUACCAGAAAAGGCUUCCAGAUGGGAUCGCGGAAGAACAGAGGCUUGCGGUGACGAAAUAAUUGUUUGUCUCACUUCAGGUUUUUUUGGAAUACAUGGGAAUUUAUUGGCCAAGAAGGGCAAAUGGAGUCAUGAGCGGCCCACAAGCCAGGGUGGCACACCUUACCUCUAGGGUGUGCCCCCUUCCUUGUGGCCGCCUCGUGGGUAUUCUGGUCCUUCCUUCAAACUUCCAUGGUCUCUUAUUAUCAAGAAAAAAUCAUCAAAAAGUUUCAUCGUGUUUGGACUUCUGUAGGUAUAGUUUUCCUGCGAAACAAAAACAUGCAGAAAAUAGGAACUGGCACUGGGCACUAAAUUAAUAGGUUAGUCCAUAAAAAUAAUAUAAAAGUAAUAAUAUAAUAGCAUGAAACAAUAAAAAGCUAUAGAUAUGUUGGAGACGUAUCAAUACAUGUAUUGUAUUGUUGCUACUAAGGGUAAAGAUGGUUUCUUUUAUCACAAUUGGAUGAUAUUUUUACCGGCUAUAUUAUUUCAUCAUGCUUAUUGCAAUGCUUUGUUUGUCAUGGAUUUAAUACUUCGAUAUUCAUUCUGGAUAGCGGUCUUGGGUUGAAGUAUUAGUUGUAGAUGUAGUUGGAUAAUACUCUACAUAUCACGGGCGUAAUGGCUACAUGAGAUUAUACUAUGAAUAUUCAUUGCCAUAAAUAUAAAUAUUGUAAUUUAAUCGCUGCACAACUGUAAUUUGUCCACCACACCGCACUUAUAUAUGCUUGGAGAGAUGUCAGUAGUGAACCUACGGCCAUGGGGUCUAUUUUACUUUACUGAAAACGUCACCAAAAAUAUUAUUCUUUGUUGUGCUUUUUAUUUAUUUUAUCUAUCUAUCUAUCAAUUCCUACCAUAUGGUGCAAUUUAGAAGAAAAAAAAUACAAUUAUAUUAGCUCUUCAUAGACAAACUUGGGGUUUGCGAGCCAAGGUAAGAUCGGUUUGGGAGGGGCAAAGGGAAUUUCUGGUGGAGCAGUGAAAUGCAUUGAGAUCGAAAAGAACACCAACGGCAAAAACAGUCGCUGGGUCGACACUGACACGAAGAGACGAAAGCUAGGGGAGCAAAUGGGAAUCUUGUAACUAGCAAGACACACACGUGCUGACCACCCUGACGAGAGACCAAAUGCUAACACAUACACAACAGGUACUACACACGUGUCGAUGCUAACACACGCAAUCAAAGUGGAGCACACUAAAGAUCAGAACACAGUCUAUGUUCGGAUCAGAACAGACAAAUAUUUAAGCUUUCAAAAUGAAAAUAAGAGGAUGAACUAGUAUGAUUUAUCCUUUUCUUCAAGGGAUCCCCCCCCCCCCUCGUUAUAUGUUUACAUAUAUUAUGUAGUAAGUGGUAACCAUUUCACUUCUGUCAACUAUGCUUUACCAGACGGAUGUGUAACAUUGAAGGGCUCGACUAUAUGUCGCUGCUCCAAUUGUUACCAUUGGGCCGACCAAGUAGUUACCUACAGGUAAGUUUGUUUCCUUUGGUUUUUUUCAUCCGUUCAUUUCGCCUUUCUUGUGUUCAUGUUUUUGAAACUAUUAUAAAAUACAUAUAUAUUCCAAAAACAUAAAUAAACUUACAAAACAAUAUAAACCGCAAAUUUGGGAAAUGUAAAAAUGUUAGCAUAGUUUUAAAAAAUUGAUAGCAUUCUGCAUUUAAAAAAUGUGUUCAUGAUAUUUUUUAAAAAGUUAAUAUAAUGGGAAAAGGUGUUCAUGUAGUCUAAAAAUGUUUCGUCUCAUGAAAAAAACUAACAUGUACCUAAAAAAUGUUUAACACAAUUUUGAAAAAACUGAUCAUGAACAUGUGUUUGAGAAAUGUUAAUCUUGUAUUUGGAAAUUGUUAAACAUGUAUAAAAAUGUUUCAGGUGUAUACGGAAAAUGUACAAUGUGUGUGAAAAAGGGUGGACAUCAAAACCUAUAUUUGAAAAAAAAUCAUGUAUUUGAGAAAUGUAAAAUGCACAAAUUUUCAUAUGUAUUUGAAGAAUGUAAAAUAUGUAUAGAAAAACUUUUGAAAAGUAUGAAUCAUGUAUUUUAAAAAUAUUAACCAUGUUUAAAAAAUGUUCCUGUUUUAUACAAAAAUUUACAUGUGUAUGGGAAUAGUAGACAUGUGUUAAAAAACAAGAAAAAAUGGGAAAACAUAAAAUCCAGUAGAGAAACACAGAAAACCAAAACCAAAAGAAAUCCGAUGAAAAUCGCAAGGAAAACACACAAUAGAGAAAAACAAAAGAGAAAACCGAUAAGGCGAUGAAAACUAUACAGAAAACCAAUAGAAGGAAAGAAGAAACAAAAAACCCUAUAAAACCCAAAGGAAAUCGAGAAAGACGUAAAACAAAAUAAAACCGAUGAGAAAUGUAAAGAAAACACACACAAAAAGAGAAAACAAAUGAUAUAAGUAAUUCUUCAAUUCAUUUGCAUGCCUUGUAUUUCACGUGGACAUAAAGAGUUGCAACUCAGUGCACAUUUGGCAUAUUAUACAUUAUUCCUAUGGUUUUAACUGAUUGAUUGCUUACUUAGAAAUGCCGAUUAGGAGUGAUGUUGUAGAAAUAAAUGAAGUUUCCUUGAAGAUAAACAAAUGAAGAUUACAUUCUUGUGUUACUUGUAGAUAGAAUGAUAAGUCUUUGAUUUUAUUUGGCAUGUGGUAUAUGAAUUAUUUUUUCUUUCAGAGCAGUGUAAUUGACCUAUUUAUGUUGUGUUACAGCUUGGAAUAUAAUUUAAGUUUACAUUAUGAAAAUUAUCCUGCUUUGGAGUGCGGCGUACUAAUAAGUAUAUUACGAAGGAUNNNNNNNNNNNNNNNNNNNNNNNNNNNNNNNNNNNNNNNNNNNNNNNNNNNNNNNNNNNNNNNNNNNNNNNNNNNNNNNNNNNNNNNNNNNNNNNNNNNNNNNNNNNNNNNNNNNNNNNNNNNNNNNNNNNNNNNNNNNNNNNNNNNNNNNNNNNNNNNNNNNNNNNNNNNNNNNNNNNNNNNNNNNNNNNNNNNNNNNNNNNNNNNNNNNNNNNNNNNNNNNNNNNNNNNNNNNNNNNNNNNNNNNNNNNNNNNNNNNNNNNNNNNNNNNNNNNNNNNNNNNNNNNNNNNNNNNNNNNNNNNNNNCACUGUUGGAUAAACAAAGAAUCAUGUAUAAAACACACACAAGGCCAUUGACCACAUAAUUUUUGGACCAAAUCAGGUAAUUUGCUAUGUACUUCAUAUCAGGUUUGUGAUGAGGAAUUACUACUGCUAUUUGUAUUUAUGCAACUCAGAGUAAAAUUUUGUAUAAUAACUUCGCAGAAUGAAAUGAUAUGGAAAUUAUCUACGUCGGCUUCAGGAACAUUUACUCUUCUGAAAUAAUAUCACUAUACCUUUGGUCUUCAAAUGAAAUUGGAGGCUGCUAAGUGAUGUAUUUAAAAAAUGUCUUUUGCCAGUACCUCUUAAUGUACUAGAUGAUGAACAGGCAUUUAAUUUUCAUAAUGUUCAUAAUCCAUAUGGAUAAGAUAAAACGACAUAGUAAUAUAUAAUGAACGUAUGCGUAUAGCAUUCUGGCUGUAACUUUUUGAGAAAUGUAAGAUGAUGGUGUUUUCACUUUUUAUAUAAAUCAUCUUCUAUAUAAUGUGUUUCAUGUUGCUACAUGCACAAAAAUCACACAUGAGCCAUAUGACUCCAAUUGCAAUAAUACUGAGUAUCUAGGGGACACACAGAACAAGGCCGCUAACAAAGCAACCUCCACGGGCCUUCAAGCAUUUUUCAAAUGCUUGAUUAACAUUUGGGCCCAAGACAUGCACUGUGGCAGUGAGCCAGAUCAGAAAGUUUUAUCAUUUUUUAUACAUGGUCGAUAUUUUUUCUAUACGCAUGUAAUGUUUUUCAAAUGCUUAAUUUACAUUUUUCAAGUACUUGUUCAAUUUUUUUCAAAUGCUUGAUUAACAUUUUUCAAAUACAUGACAAUUUUUUAAUUUUUUUUGCAUAUACGUGAUAAACAUUUUCGCUAUACACAUUUAACAUUUUCUAAUGCUUGGUCAACAUUUUCUAAAUGUUUAUGUAAGUUUUUUGUAAUAUAUAUUUAUAAUUUUUUAAAUAUAAACAAAGUAAAGGAGUUAAGCAAAAAAGAACAUAGAAAACGUUAAAAACAGAAAAAGAAGGCUGUAGCCUCCCGGGCGGCUUUGCCGACCCAUCUGGGCUCCCGGACACGAGGCUUGCCCUCUGUCUCCUUACGUUGAGACAUAGGGGCGCCCUGCGAUUGAUCAAUUGGGGGAGGGGGCGCUCGGGUGGUCAAACCAGGCCGCGGUCCCAAAGCAGUGGAACAAAAUGAAAUGACCUGAUAAAAAAUUUGGGCCCCUUAGGAUUUGGGGGCCGCAUGCGGUCGCACUGCUCGCACAGCCCCCUAGAUGGCCAUGGAUCAGUGGGUAUAAAUAUAUAGUUAGCAAUUUAAACUAAAAAUCUUCCCCCAAGUAAACCAACAAACAUCAACUAUAAGAUGUAAUCAACACUACUAGCACAGGUGCCAAUCUGAGAUUUGAUACAAAGAUUGAAUACAAGAGAUUGACUAGGGUUUAUAGAUGACAUGGUGCUAAUGAAGAUAUUGAUGAAGAUGAUGACUUCCACAAUGAGGGAAGCAUUGGUACACCAUUCAAAAAAAGAGGAGCGUUGGUGAUGAUGAAGGCUUCGAUUUGCCCCUCCUGGAGGAAAGUUUCCCUAGCGGAAUAGCUUCGCUAGAGAGAAAAUGUGAUCUUGCCCUGGUUCCACCUCGAGACGGCGACCUGAAGUCCCAAACGUGUUCUCUCUAUUUUUUUUCUAGGGAAAAUGAAGAUAUAGGACCAAUGGACGCUGGCAGAGGAGGCUUAGGGCCCCCACAAGGCUAGGUGGCGCCACCUACCCUUGUGCGCGGUUGGUUGGGCCUCCUCUGACCCAUUCUUGCUCUGGUAUUUUUAUAUAUUCCAAAAUAAAUCUUUAAAAAGUUUCACUUCAUUUUCAGCUCUGGAGAAUUGUUAUCUCUGUUGUAGCUUUUUCAUGUCAGAAUUCCAGCUGCCGGUAGUCCCUUGUUUUGAUGUAUCUUGCAUUUUAAGAAAGAAAAGGCAUUAGAAUUGGAUUAAAAAGUGAAAUAUAACAUUGAAAUAAAAUAUAUCAGUAGGAAAUAAAGAUGCAAAAUGGACGUAUCAUGCUUUUAGUAAAUUUCAUAUCAAUAAAUUAGCAUCUUGUAUUUACGGUAAUGUACAAAAUCCUAACUACCAAAGCCUAGCGUAAAAUCGUACAUAUGCCACUGAUCGAGAAGCGAAAAGGCAAUCACAGUGAUUGCACUAAAGACCAGAACACACGUGAACACAAUCUGCCUAUGUGUUCUGAUCAGCGGGGUGACUGUGUUCAUGUGUGUUCUGAUGAACAUUGUACAGAUUUCAAAAUGAAAAUAAGAGAAUGAACUAGCGUAAACCAUAGAGUUGUUUAAAUAUGAACACUGUACAGAUUUCAAAAUGAAAAUAAGAGAAUGAACUAGUAUGUUUUUUGGGUGGGCGGGUGUAUUUACAUAUAUAUGUUUGUAUAGUAGUACUCUUAUGCAGUAUCAUCCUACUCUAAUUAUAUUAUUUAGUAAGCAGUAAACCAUUUCACAUUUGUCUGCUAUGCCUUUAUCAUACCUAUAUAACUUUGGAGGGCGGCUAUAUGUCGCUGCUCUCCCGUCCUUACUAUUGGGCCGACCAAAUAGUUCAUUUUUACCUUUCUUUUGUUCAUAUUUUAAAACCAUUAUAAAAUACAUAUAUUUCAGAAACUUAAAUCAGCUUAAAAAAAUUAGAAACCAAUAUUUGAGAAAUGUUAAAGCAGUACAAAAAAAUUAGCGUAGUUUAGAAAUUGAUAGCAUUAAAAAAUAUUCACACAUUUCAAAAAAUAUGUUCAUGACAAUAAUAAGUGCGUUUAUACAAUAGAAAAUUUUCUUUUGUAGUUUUAAAAAAAUGUUUCAUAACAUGAAAAAAAAUCAACAUGUACUUGAAAAAUGUUUAACACCUAAAAUAAGGCAACCUCCACGGGCCUGGAAGCAUCUGGCCCUCCCUUUUUCUCACUCUCUUUCGGGCCCAACACGCGCACUGCGGGAGUGAGACAGAUCCAUCCCACCCACCCACCCCCAACCCCGUCGGCCACCACGCGCACACACACAGAGGCGCAGACCCAGACGAGCGCGAGACCGGACCGAGAAGCGGCGGACGGCGGCGAUGGGCGGCGGAGGCGCGCACGGCGGCACGACGUACAAGGGCUACACCAUCCCCCACAACAAGCGCUGGCACACCAUCGCCGGCAAGGGCCUCUGCGCCACCAUGUGGUAAUCGCCCGCCCGCUCGAUCCCCUCUCCUCCCUCCCGCCGCCGCUCCGACGCCCGCUUUCCCCGGUCGACCCUGGCCCGAACGGGGACGCACGGUGGAUUUGAUUGGGAACUCUUUGUUCCAAACG
Molecule: long non-coding RNA, 34201 nt
Filed under: Triticum aestivum (bread wheat)
Lineage: Eukaryota; Viridiplantae; Streptophyta; Magnoliopsida; Poales; Poaceae
Description: long non-coding RNA (TAES_LNC015504)
Source: RNAcentral